CCUACGGGAGGCAGCAGUAGGGAAUCUUUCACAAUGGGCGAAAGCCUGAUGGAGCAACGCCGCGUGCAGGAUGAAGGCCUUCGGGUUGUAAACUGCUUUUAUAAGCGAGAAAUAUGAUGGUAACUUAUGAAUAAGGAUCGGCUAACUACGUGCCAGCAGCCGCGGUCAUACGUAGGAUCCGAGCAUUAUCCGGAGUGACUGGGUGUAAAGAGUUGCGUAGGGGGCAUAAUAAGUAGCUGGUGAAAUCUGGUGGCUCAACCAUUCAGACUAUUAGCUAAACUGUUAAGCUCGAGACCGUUAGGGGUAACUGGAAUUUGUAGAGUAGGAGUGAAAUCCGUAGAUAUUAGAAGGAACACCAAUAGCGUAGGCAGGUUGCUGGGACGGUUCUGACACUAAGGCACGAGAGCGUAGGGAGCAAACGGGAUUAGAUACCCUUGUAGUC
Molecule: ribosomal RNA, 442 nt
Filed under: uncultured bacterium
Lineage: Bacteria
Description: partial 16S ribosomal RNA
Rfam family: Bacterial small subunit ribosomal RNA
Source: RNAcentral